Molecule: ribosomal RNA, 301 nt
Filed under: uncultured bacterium
Lineage: Bacteria
Description: partial 16S ribosomal RNA
Rfam family: Bacterial small subunit ribosomal RNA
Source: RNAcentral
CAGUCGCCGCGGUAAAACGGAGGGUGCAAGCGUUAAUCGGAAUUACUGGGCGUAAAGCGCACGCAGGCGGUCUGUCAAGUCGGAUGUGAAAUCCCCGGGCUCAACCUGGGAACUGCAUUCGAAACUGGCAGGCUAGAGUCUUGUAGAGGGGGGUAGAAUUCCAGGUGUAGCGGUGAAAUGCGUAGAGAUCUGGAGGAAUACCGGUGGCGAAGGCGGCCCCCUGGACAAAGACUGACGCUCAGGUGCGAAAGCGUUGGGAGCAAACAGGAUUAGAUACCCCAGUAGUCCCUGUCUCUUAUAC